AUAAACUGUACCGGUUUCUGCAGAGCUGUCCCUUCGGUAUUGAUGAUGAAACGGUCCGUGUUCGGUGACCAUAGCGGUCUGACUUUAGUAUAAUAGAAAUGAAACACGGACCGUUGGAGCUCCAGAGAGCUCUCUGCAGAGAUGAAUACCGGCUUGAGACGUUUGAAGCGAUUUUAUAUUGGAAACGAAGACGUUGGUUGUUAAUCCUUUUUCAUAUUCGGAAAUUGGUGAUAGUUUGCGGACUAUGAUCGACAUAUAAUAUACAACCGGCCAUAUAAGAUGCUAGAAUACUGAAUUCCUCUACUGUAACUGUAUCCUUUGUAAUAAUGUAUUCUAUUUUUGGCUGUAUCUCUUCCAUCCAUCGGAACUUUUUGAUUUUGGUCGGUUCAGGCACUUGUGCAUAGUGUCGGCGACGUUUGACUGCUCUUACCCAUUCUAUAACUUGCUUUCGUUGUCAUCUGUUCGUAUUUUCCUAAUACUAUUUUUUGUGUGUCUUCGUUUUCAUAAUGUCGGUUAGUCAAGUAAGUAAUAAAUCGUUUGAUGUCUUUAAUCCAUAUGGCUAAACUGUCUCCUUUUAAUCCACAACGGAUAAGAGAAUCAAACGCCGCGGUAAGAUUGUGUUCUGCAAAUGGUUUUGUUGGAUUAUGCUGUAGUAAAUACAGCGUUCUUACAUUAUUAUAUAGUUGUUUUGUUUUUUGCGACCGUUCAUUGUCUUCUCCCACAUUGAAUAAAUUUCUAAAUCCUAAAACCUCUGGUAAACUUUCUGAUGCUACAUUAUAGAAACCUUCUUCUUGUAACUUUCCGGCGACCGAGGAUGGAGGAUAGUGGAGUAUUUGGGAGUUAAAGGAUAAUAGCGGAGAACGGCUACAACUAGCUUCCUGUAUUACUGGACUAUAGAUGGGAAAAUAAAUAGGUGAAUUCGAAACAGGCGGACUAUGGACAGGCGAAGGAAUAGAUACUACUUGAACGGAACAAGGUUCGGAAGUUGUUUCAAUAGGCACAGUUUUAGGUCUUGAAUCUGUUGGAAUAUGUAGUUUUAACAGUAAUCGAUUCUCCGGAUGGUUACAAAAGCAGGUGAUCUAACGUAUUGUGGUCUACUGAAUAACUUCUGUUUAAAUAUAAAACCACUUAAGGUUUGGACAUUUCCAAAGUAUAGCAUAUAACGUGCAACUACGUCUGGAAUCGUCAGUUUCAAAUUGUGAAUGAGCAAAGAAAAUCUGCGCUCAUCUUCUGAAAUGAACCAUCCAUUACUCUCCUCGAUAUGCAGAAGAAGAGCCCACAGCACUACAGCGCAAUAGUAUGAAAAGAAGCUCAAACACAUGUUCUUUGGAAAAUCAUUUUUGAUCUUAUUUUCAUAAUAAGUAUAUACUUCGCGCAGGACGGCAUCAAAAUCACAGCAUUCGGAGUAUAACUCCUUUACCUGCGGAAUAGGUAUUAAAUCAUUAUUUGUCGAGUCAUUCUCAAGCAUAAAGAUUGGGAUUGCAAAAGAUAUCAUUAGCGUCGGAAGUGGCACGACUAGAGUCAGUGCCAGUAGUUGCACGAUUUAAGACAUUUUCAGAUGAUGAUGGUACCUUCCGCGCUACAUUGCCUGAACGACGUUUAUCCCCACGGACGCCGCGAUGCGCGGCUCGACCGCCACAGGUAGCUUUAGGAUUUCGAGUCAGCUUGGCUAUCUGGAAAUGGAGAAGGGUUGAUAGACAAUGCAGUACUAGGUCCAACGAUGGCAUUACGCGAUUGGAGGAAACUGCGUCCACGUUGACGUUUUUGUGCCCCCGGGAGCUCACUGCCCCAACAGAAUAUGUAGAUACUACACUACUCAUAAUUGGAGUGGUCUCGAUCAAGAAAACACAAUUCAAUUUAUAUAUAAAAUUUUCAAGUAUUUCAAACGGAUUAGAAUUUCUAAUUCCUCACGAAAUACGUGUAAACAAUUUAGCUUCAAUAAACAAUAGCUUCUUAUAUCUGACAGGGUAGGCGCUUAAUAGCUUAUGUACCCUUGAGAUUUACAAAGUAAAAAUUGAUAUAUUCUUCGGUAUAUAUCAAUUUAAAUUUUGUUGAUGGCCAAGCAUGACAGAGAGCUAAGAAAAACGUAUAGAUGAAAUUGCUGAAUUCGUGAAUAGCUAUGCAGUGGCGUUUGAAAAGCGUUAUAUUAAUGACGCAAUCGACAAUGGGACACUACGUACGUUUUUCGUUUCCCAUCUGAAAAACAAACAUAACGAAUUGUAAUAUGCGUUGUCAAUGUACUGUGGUAUACUAUAAUAGCGUUCUCGGCGG
RNAcentral lists this long non-coding RNA (2271 nucleotides) under Androctonus crassicauda. Lineage: Eukaryota; Metazoa; Arthropoda; Arachnida; Scorpiones; Buthidae. The record is from RNAcentral.